UUUUGUGCUUCCGGAAUUUCACGUUUUCCACAAGCCGGUUAUUUUACUCUACAAAAUGUUUAAAAAGUACAGUGACAAAGAACAUUCGCCGUCGGUGAAUAACAUGAAGUCGUCGGUCCAACGAGGAGUUCGAGCGAAGGUUAUCACCCAGUUUCCGUUCAUAGAAGAUUAUAUUGAUGAAAUAUUACCGAAGAAGGAAACUUUGAAAUUGGUCAAAUUGCCUGAUCAUAUUGAAUUAGUAGCAAGUCAGGCUGGCCAGCCUUUAUUCUUCAAACAUAGGGAUGGAGAUUAUUAUCCUACACUCAGAAUUCUUCAUAAAUAUCCGUUUAUGUUACCUCACAUGCAAGUGGACAAGGGCGCCAUCCGGUUCGUCCUCUCAGGUGCUAACAUCAUGUGUCCUGGUCUGACGUCCCCCGGAGCCAGGAUGACCAUGGUCAAUGAGGGAACAGUGGUUGCUGUAAUGGCGGAAGGAAAGGAACAUGCGUUAGCUGUGGGACUGACGACGAUGUCAUCAGAAGAUAUAUUAUCAAAAAACAAAGGAAUAGGAGUGGAAUGUGCACAUUUUUUGAAUGAUGGACUUUGGAAGAUGAAACCGCUCAGAUAGACUCGUACAGUAAAUCGUCACUUCUUGGACAAAGACCUCAGACAGAUGUGGUUGUGACAGAAUGUGUGUUUGGGAGGAUGGCAUUAGAAAGAACUUUCUCAAGUCCUUUUAAACAAUGCUCAGGGUUAGAGCUGCGGCAAAUAUAAUAAUAUCAAACCAUUGAUUAUCAUAGAAUAUUUAUUUAUCAGUUUGAGUAGCUUUGCUUUUGGUCUAAGAAAAGAGGACAUGUUUGUAUUUAUGUGCUGUCGUUCAGCUUGUCCCCAUUUUAUCGGGCAAGCAAUGGCGGUGGGUUGCUCUGUAAACUGGUAUCUAUUUUCUGUUUUGUUUCUAUCCAUUUUGUCUGUACCUUGAACCCAUUUCAAUAUUUUUGGGAGAACGGAGAUUUGGAAGGACAAACUAUCUCAUUUGGUUCAAUCCAGAUUACCAUUGGGUAUCCAUAUAGAGGGACUGGGAUGAAUUACCCUCUGUGUCGCUUGUAGGAACACAGUGCAGGUGGUUAAGUCCAGGUUUACAGAGAGUUAACAAUUUUAAGAACUGACAAGUGAUUUCCAAUGAGCAGGCUACCUUGUCAAGACAUGUCAUGGCUGUCAGGUGGUGCAGUGCAAACAUCACCUGUCACCACUGAGGUCCCAGGUUCAAUUCCUGGUCAGUCCCGGAACACUUAUGUAAUGGAGAGGUUGACUUCCUUCGUCGGGGUAGGUUUUCUCCAGUUGUGAUGCGACAUCGCAAUUUCCCCACUUGCUUUUAGGAAUGAAUGUCUCUUGUCAAAGUUGAUAUACACAGUAGAACCUCUCUAUUAAGGACACCCUCGGGACUGACAAGUGCUGUCCUUGAUAGAGAGGUGUCCUGAUUAGAGAGGUCAAAUUGAAUGGAAACAGCCAAUUUGGGACCAAAACCAGUGUCCUUAAUAGAGAGGUUGUCCUUAAUAGAGAGGUUGUCCUUAAUAGAGAGGUGUCCGCUAAGGGAGGUUCCCCUGUAUUGAUAUUGACAUCACUUCCGUGUGGAGUGAUAUGUUAUUAUUAUUGUGCUGCAUGACGAAUCUUUAUUAAAGUAAUGUAAA
RNA transcript from Lineus longissimus, 1664 nucleotides. It is a transcript of the gene named malignant T-cell-amplified sequence 1 homolog, with no coding region annotated. The record is from RefSeq and is a predicted model, not a curated record. The transcript has 7 exons. NCBI's taxonomy places the organism in Eukaryota, Metazoa, Nemertea, Pilidiophora, Heteronemertea, Lineidae.